This 275-nucleotide ribosomal RNA is filed under the name uncultured bacterium. RNAcentral describes it as "partial 16S ribosomal RNA". It matches the Rfam family "Bacterial small subunit ribosomal RNA", at positions 1217 to 1500 of the family's 1533-position model. The record is from RNAcentral.
CACACGUGUUACAAUGGGGGGUACAGAGGGCCGCUACCACGCGAGUGGAUGCCAAUCCCUAAAACCCCUCUCAGUUCGGACUGGAGUCUGCAACCCGACUCCACGAAGCUGGAUUCGCUAGUAAUCGCGCAUCAGCCACGGCGCGGUGAAUACGUUCCCGGGCCUUGUACACACCGCCCGUCAAGCCAUGGGAGCCGGGGGUACCUGAAGUGCGUAACCGCAAGGAUCGCCCUAGGGUAAAACUGGUGACUGGGGCUAAGUCGUAACAAGGUAGC